UCUAACCAGCCUUCGUGAACACACAGAUACUAAAAGAAAAAAUAACCACCGAAGCCUAGCCUUCCCUCCUACAAAAAAUAAAUGUUUUUUCUUGGUUGUCUCCUCGCCUCACCCACCCAGCACCCAUCAUCUCCACUCCCAGUAGAAACUGUUGUCGUUUCCUCUGCUCCCAACAGCGCCUCCCACAUUACUCCCUCUCUAUCCCCUGGCCCAGCAGUUCAUCUGGUGGAACCACGACAUGAACGGCCUGAACUCUGCCUACUAGCAAAUGUCCUCGCAACUCCUUUCUCCAGAUCUCUUCAUGUCGCCGUCGCCACCGCGUCCACGGAUCAAUAUUGUUCCGCCAUGAUAUUUUCUUCGGGUCACUAGUGUUGCUUAUUUAUGUCAACGUCAAGUGUUUGCCACAAUGGAAACCUCCAGGACGGGAUGCGUACUUUUGUAAGGCCACAUGUGUGUAGGUACUUGCAGCAAAACUGCACAUGGAUUAUUAGGUUGCUCAUAUGUAUAAAUGGAACUGAAUUAGCCGGUUAAGAUUUCAAACAUGUUUUCUUUCUCUCUACUCUGAUGUAUCAUUUCAUUUGAAGGCAUUUAUAACAUUGGUUUGAUCUCAUUUAUGUGAUUACAUAAAAUAUUAAUCAUAUAUGGUCA
This is a long non-coding RNA of Aegilops tauschii subsp. strangulata, 648 nucleotides long. RefSeq lists it as uncharacterized. Lineage: Eukaryota; Viridiplantae; Streptophyta; Magnoliopsida; Poales; Poaceae. The record is from RefSeq and is a predicted model, not a curated record.